Empidonax traillii (willow flycatcher) is the source of this 631-nucleotide long non-coding RNA. RefSeq lists it as uncharacterized. The record is from RefSeq and is a predicted model, not a curated record. The transcript is spliced from 2 exons. NCBI's taxonomy places the organism in Eukaryota, Metazoa, Chordata, Aves, Passeriformes, Tyrannidae.
UCUUUCCAGGGGUCAGUGCUGGCUGUACCAGUAACAUGGUGCACACCAAUUACAGGUCUAAAGAGGACCCCGUGUGAAGGCUCACCUUUCCACCUGCCUCCUUCCUCAGGCUUGCAGAGUCCUGUCCAGCUCUGCUCACAGGGGAACAGCUGCUGGCUGACUGUUUGCAUCCUAGAAGGAUGCUGCCAGACUGGCAGGACUCUGGAUGUCUCAACAGCAACACGUUCAACUCUCCCAGCUAUCUGUACUCAGCAUUGCUUACAAAAGCCAGCAUGAAAAUACAAAGGUGUCUAAGCUACAAAGCUUCAGAAUGGAAGAAAAUAAUUCCCAGUUAUCUAUUUUACACAAUGGAUUACAGUAACAUCUUGCAAAUUCAAUUAUUUAUAAGCCUGCAGAAAAAUAACACUUCAGAGUCCUGCAAUUAAGGAACAUACAUGUAAAAAAUAAUUGUAUGCCAUUUCCAGGAUUCAUGGCUGUUACUUUCUAGAACUGAAAAAACAAUACUACCUAUCUUAGUGCUAUUCAGAAGAUAUGCAGAGGAUCAUCUGGGGAGAAGAGAAUGUUAGAAACUGCUUAAAGGAUGGAAUAAAUAAAGUCAUACUCAAAAGCCCUCUUUCAGGAGCUGCCAAUU